AUUGAACGCUGGCGGCAUGCUUUACACAUGCAAGUCGAACGGUAACAGGUUAAGCUGACGAGUGGCGAACGGGUGAGUAAUGCAUCGGAACGUGCCCGGUCGUGGGGGAUAACGCAGCGAAAGCUGCGCUAAUACCGCAUACGAUCUGAGGAUGAAAGCGGGGGACCGUAAGGCCCCGCGCGAUCGGAGCGGACGAUGUCAGAUUAGGUAGUUGGUGGGGUAAAGGCCUACCAAGCCGACGAUCUGUAGCUGGUCUGAGAGGACGACCAGCCACACUGGGGCUGAGACACGGCCCAGACUCCUACGGGAGGCAGCAGUGGGGAAUUUUGGACAAUGGGCGCAAGCCUGAUCCAGCAAUGCCGCGUGCAGGAAGAAGGCCUUCGGGUUGUAAACUGCUUUUGUACGGAGCGAAAAGGCUCUCUCUAAUACAGGGGGUUCAUGACGGUACCGUAAGAAUAAGCACCGGCUAACUACGUGCCAGCAGCCGCCGUAA
Molecule: ribosomal RNA, 493 nt
Filed under: uncultured bacterium
Lineage: Bacteria
Description: partial 16S ribosomal RNA
Rfam family: Bacterial small subunit ribosomal RNA
Source: RNAcentral